GUCCCUGUCGUCUAAUGGUUAGGACAUCUCUUUCUCAGAGGAGCAUCGGAGUUCAAUUCUUCGCAGGGGUA
Molecule: non-coding RNA, 71 nt
Organism: Zopfochytrium polystomum
Lineage: Eukaryota; Fungi; Chytridiomycota; Chytridiomycetes; Chytridiales; Chytridiaceae
Source: the annotation of a GenBank genome assembly